This is a long non-coding RNA of Alosa sapidissima (American shad), 305 nucleotides long. RefSeq lists it as uncharacterized. Lineage: Eukaryota; Metazoa; Chordata; Actinopteri; Clupeiformes; Clupeidae. The record is from RefSeq and is a predicted model, not a curated record. The transcript has 3 exons.
AAGCUGUCAAAAGAAAUGAAGGUAGUAGAGUUCUGCACAGAUGCUCAUCCCUAGAUCGCAGCCCUUUUGAGCAUCAAAGGUGAAAGAACAGACCCUUCUCCUCAACUGGUUGAGGGAUAUAGUCAACCACUUUUGGUGGUGUUGCAAGACAGCCAACACAAUUGAGCAGUUUCUUGGACUUUGGAUUGGAGUCCUUCACCAUGUCUGCAACGUUCACACUUGGGAAUUGGGAAGCUGCCAACAUGACCAUCUUGAAGACCUGCAGGAGAAGAAGUGGAUAGAGAGGGAUUCCAAGUGCCACAAAG